AGGAAGUAACGUUCCUUUUCCUUCGGGACAGAGGAGACAGGUGGUGCAUGGUUGUCGUCAGCUCGUGUCGUGAGAUGUUGGGUUAAGUCCCGCAACGAGCGCAACCCUUACCUUCAGUAGCCAGCGAGUAAAGUCGGGCACUCUGGAGGGACUGCCAGGGAUAACCUGGAGGAAGGUGGGGAUGACGUCAAAUCAUCAUGCCCCUUAUGAUUUGGGCUACACACGUGCUACAAUGGCGUAAACAAAGGGAAGCGAAGCCGUGAGGUGAAGCAAAUCCCAAAAAUAACGUCUCAGUUCGGAUUGUAGUCUGCAACUCGACUACAUGAAGCUGGAAUCGCUAGUAAUCGCGAAUCAGAAUGUCGCGGUGAAUACGUUCCCGGGUCUUGUACACACCGCCCGUCACACCAUGGGAGUUGGUAACGCCCGAAGUCAGUGACUCAACCGAAAGGGGAGAGCUGCCGAAGGCGGGACUGAUAACUGGGGUGAAGUCGUAACAAGGUAGCCGUAUCGGAAGGUG
This 517-nucleotide ribosomal RNA is filed under the name uncultured bacterium. Its description in RNAcentral is "bacterial SSU rRNA". It matches the Rfam family "Bacterial small subunit ribosomal RNA", at positions 997 to 1514 of the family's 1533-position model. The record is from RNAcentral.